This 279-nucleotide ribosomal RNA is filed under the name uncultured bacterium. RNAcentral describes it as "partial 16S ribosomal RNA". It matches the Rfam family "Bacterial small subunit ribosomal RNA", at positions 506 to 784 of the family's 1533-position model. The record is from RNAcentral.
UGCCAGCAGCCGCGGUAAUACGAAAGGUGCAAGCGUUGUUCGGAUUUACUGGGCGUAAAGAGAUCGUAGGUGGUUUAUUAAGUCGGAUGUGAAAUCCCGGGGCUCAACCCCGGAACUGCAUUCGAUACUGGUAGACUAGAGUUUGGGAGGGGUAAGCGGAAUUCCGUGUGUAGCAGUGAAAUGCGUAGAUAUACGGAGGAACACCUGAGGCGAAGGCGGCUUACUGGACCAAUACUGACACUGAGGAUCGAAAGCGUGGGUAGCAAACAGGAUUAGAUA